Sturnus vulgaris (Common starling) is the source of this 304-nucleotide non-coding RNA. NCBI's taxonomy places the organism in Eukaryota, Metazoa, Chordata, Aves, Passeriformes, Sturnidae. The record is from RefSeq and is a predicted model, not a curated record.
GCAACGGAAACAAACUGCAUCGGGAUCACGCAAGAGAUGUAGAGACCUCCCCCCCUCCCAAAUGAGCCUCUCAUCACCAGACUGGGGUUCUCCAGCAGCUCCCAUGUCCACAGACAUAGCAGUGCAGAUAUCUCAUGGAUUAAGCUGUACCCUGAAAGGAAAGCCCCUGCCUGCGUUUGCUGCCGGGUGAGAUGAAGGUGUCUGAGAAAGUGUGGCUGACUGAACCUGGACAUCAGGAGAGCGGGAGGGAGCUGGGCAGCACCUUGGGCUGGCACACCAAAGGAGGCCUGAAACUACCACAUGU